CCCUCUUCAGCAGCAACCACGCCAACACCGCUUCAACCGGAAGCUGAUAAGUCAGAUUCUCACUCCAACAGUGAUGGCUCAACCAUUAGGGUUAACUCUGUUAUAGAAAAUGAACAAGUUAAUAGCUUCAGGAACCUCAUAAUAUCAAGUUCAACCAAUGAUCAAGUACAUGUGGUACAGCAUGGAGACUCGGUGAUGCUCAACCAUCAGCAGUUCUCAAAUGAAUUUGGAUCGUUGGAUUGGGAAGGUGGUGCUAACACCGUUGAUCAGUCUUACUGGACACAGUCUCAUUGGUCUGAUCAUGUGAUUCAUUCAUCCUCUCUUUUUCAUCUUCCAUGAAAAAUGAAUAAGCCUCAACAAAUUUCUACACUUAUUUUUAUUUUUUGUUUUCUACCAGUUAUUGUUUUGUUUCUAGUUGGAAUCAAGACAAAACAAAUGUUUUAUUUUAACAGAAUGUGAAAGACAGCAUGAAAGCAUGUAUAAUUUAUUAAUACAAGAUAUAGUAUUCCAUAAAAAUACAAGUAAUGUAAUUUUGUUUGUUUGUUUGUUGAUUGUGAUUGAUCUUAAGGUUGAGGUUGUUUGUGCAAUAAAUGUAUCAAUGUUGCUUUCUUUAAGAUUCUUUUAUAAUUAUUUCUACGCAUUUUAUUAUUAUUUAUUGUACCUGUUUGGAAGGAACGGAAUGGUAGAGUUUUUUAACGAGAAGAUUGCAGACUGUCGGAGUAUACCAGACAAGGUUAAACUGUUAUCUUUUUAGUGGCUAAAAGUAAGUAUGUUGACUUUUGUUUUUAGUUAUCAUGACCGUGGCUACACCCUUUGUUAUGUAUGGAUUUUGUUUUUCCCCUUUUUAUUUCGGUGCUUGUUGUUGAUGCAACAAUUACUUAGACUGUAUCUUUUGUGGUGAUUCUUUUUUGCACACUUAUUGCGGGAUGAAUCACCAGAGGUUAUCUACAUAUCCCAUUUUUGCUUGUCAAAAAAUUAUUUACUGAACUUGUUUUUGUUUUUUUGACAAUAACCAAACUUGUUUUUCUUUUUUUUUAGGAAAAUAACCAAACUUGUGGUUAAUAUGGGAUAUGAAUAAUUUUUUCUUGUAAAGAUUGAAAGUGUAUGUUAAUUUUGUAUAGAGAUCAAUAAAAUUCAACUUAUUCUCAUUCAGGAUAUUAGAAUUACAUUAAUUAUAUGUUUCAAAGAAACUUAUUUGAUAAUGAUUUUUUAUUGUAAUACUUUAAAAAUAUCAUUUAAAUAUAUAAAAAAAUCUUUAGAAUUUUUUUGAAAGGACAAAUGUACAAAUAUCUAAUAUAAAAAGACAAACAUAUAAAUAUAAUAUUUCUGUUUUUUUUUUUUUUUGCACUAUUUAUACAUAAAUUUGGAAUCUUUCCCUAAAAAAACAAAAAAAAUUGUAAUCUUAGUUUAUAGUGGGAUUCGUCAUGGUUCAUGUUUUUUGUUUUUGUUUUGAGGGAACUCAUGAUUCAUGUUGAUUAUGACGGUAAUCGGUCAUGACAUGAUACUUACUCGUUUUUUUUCUUCUUUUCAAUAACAUAGUCUUAAAAAUAAAAAAUCCUAACAUACCCUAAUUUUAAAAUCUUGACAUAGUUUUUUGGCUGAGUAUGUUUUAAAAACCUAUAUUUUGAGCAAAAAAUAUAGGUUUUUAAAAACAUAUAUAAAUAGAAGAUUUAUCCUUAAUAGAAAUCACAAUUUUUUUACUCUAUUCAAACAAUUUUUCUCAUCUCAUUUUUCCUCAUUUCAAUCAUGUGUACUUAGUAGGCUCUAAAGUUAAACAUGUAUAUCGAGUCUCAAUCAAUAUUUUAUACAUUAUUUCUGUUCAUGUUACAAGUAUCAUUGUUAUUUAUGUUAAUGUUAUUAGCUUAUGGUGUUUUUUUUUUAAGACAUGUUUUUUUUUAACAAGAGCUUGUUGCGGUAUUUGUUACGAUAGAUAAAUAAAAUAAAAAUUAAAUGAGAUAUAAAAUGUGUGAUAUUUAUUUUUCUUGGUUGAUAUAUAUGUGCGAUAUUUUGAACGAGGAAACAAACAAUGUGGGGGCUGAACAUGAGUGAGCAGUCACACUCCCCGCGGUCAUGACUCCACGUGGCGGUAGUGAUAUUGCUACGAUGGGUCUAAAUUGCAAAGUGGAAGACGUAGACUUGUGUGACAAGACAUGAAUGUGAUGUGAAGGGUAGGCAUUGGCUGUAGCCUAUAGUAUUUUGGGGAUGGAAAUGAUGUGUUUGGUGGCUUAAUUGCAACGCAGAAUGCAUUAUUAAGCAAAUUAAUCAGCAUGCAUGGACUAUUGGAGUAGUGGAGAUGAAGACACGGUAUGAUAGACUAAUUUAAGCACCUAGUCCCUAGACAAGGGUCUUUGUUUCUUUGUUAUUAGUAGAGUGGAAUGGUGAAUCUUGAGGUUAUCCAAUGUUACUAGUGUACAUGGAUGGGUAAAUACGGAUCAACUCGAAUAUACCCAACAAAACCGAUGCAAGUUUAUACACUCGGUUCAGGUUAAAACGGAUCAUGGAUUGGUCGGGUGAAUAUUAUAGGUUGUUGUGAUUACAUUCGGUUUGUUAUUUUGAACCCGUACUAACCCAAACAACCUGUGAACUUACUAAUAGACUCUUUUUUUUUUAAUUCAAGCCCAACAUAUCACCUAGAGAAAAAGAAAAAAUAACUUUAUCGGUGAUUUCAUAAUCAGAAUAAAAGAAUCUUACCUAUAUUAAUUGACCCAAAGAGAAUUACUAUCAUUCAUUGGAUUUUAAGUUCAAUCUCUUAUCUCCAUCUGCGAUUUCAUAGUCAGUCGUUCCAUCUCCAACUAUUUUUCUUCGUUCAGAAUCCAGUCCAUAUAAUCUCUUCUUUAUAUCUGCAAUUAUUUUGUUUCUCCUCGUUCAAAAAUAAAAAUGCAGAAGCUAUCUUCUUCUUUCCUUUUCUUCAGAUCCGUUAGUUUUGUGAUAAAAUGGUUUACAUCUAGCUUCUCAACGAACUCCUAUGUUUAAUAUGUGAUAAAAUUGUUUAGAUCCUAGCUUUUCAAGCAAUUCAUGUGUUUUUUCCUAUGACUUUGUGUUGGUUUUGAAUGGAAUCCGAGUUUGGAUUUAAUUUUUUCUUCUCGGUGUUGUAACCCUUUAUCCGAACCUAAACAACCCUAAAAUUCAAACCCGUAAUACCUGAUUUGAAUUUCAUGUCCAGCAGAGUUGUUGCUCUCUAUGAUCAGAACAUGAGCUGAUUCCACAAAGGGUCGUUGCUAAAUCACCGGUUCGAGUAGAACCAUAUCUAGAUGAAUCUAAUAUACCAUAUGACUAAGAUAAGAAACAUCUUCCAUUACUCAUUAUGCCAUUGCACAAAUGAGUAAUUGAUUAUAUGUUCUUGAUAUUCAAAUGCAAAUCUAUAAAAUUGAUACUAAAAGCAUGAAACCUAACGAGUUAAAUUCGACUUACCUUUGACAUUGUCGUGUAAGCCAUAUAAAUGAUAAACGCAUCUCCAAGCUCCAUAAAGAUGAACUAUUGGAAUCCUUUGAUUAUAAUUCAUUUGAAACGUCAAGCUCUUGUUUGUCGGGAAAGGUGACAAAAACCAUAUUCACAAGGAAAGGUAAAAAGACAAAUGAUAUUUUGGCACUCAUACAUAUUGAUGUAUGUGGACCACUAAGUACACCAGCUAAAGUAUGUUUUCAAUGCUUCAUUACAUUCACUCAUGAUUUUAGUAGAUUUGGAUAUGUG
RNAcentral lists this long non-coding RNA (3690 nucleotides) under Medicago truncatula (barrel medic). RNAcentral describes it as "long non-coding RNA (MTRU_LNC008528)". The record is from RNAcentral. Lineage: Eukaryota; Viridiplantae; Streptophyta; Magnoliopsida; Fabales; Fabaceae.